This 568-nucleotide ribosomal RNA is filed under the name Curvularia lunata. RNAcentral's name for it is "eukaryotic LSU rRNA". The stretch from base 194 to 347 matches the Rfam family "5.8S ribosomal RNA". The record is from RNAcentral. Lineage: Eukaryota; Fungi; Ascomycota; Dothideomycetes; Pleosporales; Pleosporaceae.
UCCGUAGGUGAACCUGCGGAGGGAUCAUUACACAAUACAAUAUGAAGGCUGUCCGCAGCUGGAGUAUUUUAUUACCCUUGUCUUUUGCGCACUUGUUGUUUCCUGGGCGGGUUCGCUCGCCACCAGGACCACCAAAUAAACCUUUUUUAUGCAGUUGCAAUCAGCGUCAGUACAAACAAUGUAAAUCAUUUACAACUUUCAACAACGGAUCUCUUGGUUCUGGCAUCGAUGAAGAACGCAGCGAAAUGCGAUACGUAGUGUGAAUUGCAGAAUUCAGUGAAUCAUCGAAUCUUUGAACGCACAUUGCGCCCUUUGGUAUUCCAAAGGGCAUGCCUGUUCGAGCGUCAUUUGUACCCUCAAGCUUUGCUUGGUGUUGGGCGUUUUUGUCUUUGGUCGCCCAAAGACUCGCCUUAAAGUGAUUGGCAGCCGGCCUUUCUGGUUUCGCAGCGCAGCACAUUUUUGCGCUUGCCAUCAGCAAAACGGCAAUCCAUCAAGCCUCCUUCUCACGUUUGACCUCGGAUCAGGUAGGGAUACCCGCUGAACUUAAGCAUAUCAAUAAGCGGAGGAA